RNAcentral lists this transfer RNA (84 nucleotides) under Podarcis lilfordi (Lilford's wall lizard). RNAcentral's name for it is "tRNA.Lys". The stretch from base 8 to 65 matches the Rfam family "tRNA", at positions 8 to 63 of the family's 71-position model. Rfam says of the family: Transfer RNA (tRNA) molecules are approximately 80 nucleotides in length. Their secondary structure includes four short double-helical elements and three loops (D, anti-codon, and T loops). Further hydrogen bonds mediate the characteristic L-shaped molecular structure. tRNAs have two regions of fundamental functional importance: the anti-codon, which is responsible for specific mRNA codon recognition, and the 3' end, to which the tRNAs corresponding amino acid is attached (by aminoacyl-tRNA synthetases). tRNAs cope with the degeneracy of the genetic code in two manners: having more than one tRNA (with a specific anti-codon) for a particular amino acid; and 'wobble' base-pairing, i.e. permitting non-standard base-pairing at the 3rd anti-codon position. The record is from RNAcentral. Lineage: Eukaryota; Metazoa; Chordata; Lepidosauria; Squamata; Lacertidae.
GUUGGGAUAGCUCAGUUGGUAGAGCAUGAGACUCUUAAUCUCAGCGUCAUGGGUUUGAGCCCCAUGUUGGGCAAGAUUCCUACA